CAGCAGCCGCGGUAAUACCGGCGGCCCGAGUGGCGGUCACUAUUAUUGGGCUUAAAACGUCCGUAGCCGGGUUGGGAAGGCCUCCGGGAAAUCUGGCCGCUUAACGGUCAGAAUGCCGGAGGAUACUCCCAGCCUAGGGAGCGGGAGAGGCCGAGGGUAUUCCCGGAGUAGGGGUGAAAUCCUAUAAUCCCGGGAGGACCACCUGUGGCGAAGGCGCUCGGCUGGAACGCGUCCGACGGUGAGGGACGAAGGCCAGGGGAGCAAACCGGAUUAGAUACCCGGGUAGUCCUGGCUGUAAACGAUGCGGACUUUGUGUCGGACAAGCUAUGAGCUUGUCCGGUGCCGGAGGGAAACCGUUAAGUCCGCCGCCUGGGGAGUACGGCCGCAAGGCUGAAACUUAAAGGAAUUGGCGGG
Molecule: ribosomal RNA, 414 nt
Filed under: uncultured microorganism
Description: bacterial SSU rRNA
Rfam family: Archaeal small subunit ribosomal RNA
Source: RNAcentral